GACGAACGCUGGCGGCGUGCCUAAUACAUGCAAGUCGAGCGGACUUAAAAAGCUUGCUUUUUAAGUUAGCGGCGGACGGGUGAGUAACACGUGGGCAACCUGCCUGUAAGACUGGGAUAACUUCGGGAAACCGGAGCUAAUACCGGAUAAUCCUUUCCUACUCAUGUAGGAAAGCUGCAAGACGGUUUACGCUGUCACUUACAGAUGGGCCCGCGGCGCAUUCGCUAGUUGGUGAGGUAACGGCUCACCAAGGCGACGAUGCGUAGCCGACCUGAGAGGGUGAUCGGCCACACUGGGACUGAGACACGGCCCAGACUCCUACGGGAGGCAGCAGUAGGGAAUCUUCCGCAAUGGACGAAAGUCUGACGGAGCAACGCCGCGUGAGUGAUGAAGGUUUUCGGAUCGUAAAACUCUGUUGUUAGGGAAGAACAAGUACGAGAGUAACUGCUCGUACCUUGACGGUACCUAACCAGAAAGCCACGGCUAACUACGUGCCAGCCGCCGCGGUAA
This 510-nucleotide ribosomal RNA is filed under the name uncultured bacterium. Its description in RNAcentral is "partial 16S ribosomal RNA". It matches the Rfam family "Bacterial small subunit ribosomal RNA", at positions 28 to 523 of the family's 1533-position model. The record is from RNAcentral.